UACGCAUUUGCUACAUGUAUCUUGAUGAGUUUGGAUAUAUGCAUAUGCCUGUGAUGCCAUCACCACAACCAAGUUACUAGACAUACCCAUCAAGAUGGUUGUUCAUUAUUAUUCAUUCUCACCUUUUUCCAUGACAAAACCCACAUUUUUAGUUAAGCACAGAAUUAUCUGAAAUAAAAACUAUAUAUUACGCAUUAAUUUGUUUAAUAUCUAUCUUGUUCAAUGGUUUGCAAGUUGCAUGAAGCUUUGGAUCUUGCCUGGUCCGUUUCAUUGCUGUAUCUCCAAGGCCUAGCCCCUUGCCUGGCAAAAUAACAGGAGCUCAAUUAAACACACGAAUGAAGUUUCUCCUUACAGUUCUAGCACAAUCUUUUUGAUGUUCUGCUUAGUUUGCUCCUUGUGUGAGAGGGAGAGACUUUCUGAUGCUGUUCCUGGCUUCUCAGUGUUUUCAUCUAAAAAGUAAUGAUGAAGAGGAGAGAUCAGAAGGUGGAAUUUCUACAUAAUAUCUAUCUGGUUGGGUGAACUGUGUCUUACUUAAUUCCUCAUUCACUCAUGGAGGGCACAAGGGAACCAAUUAUUUUACAAGACUGUGGGUUCCCAAGGGUCUCUCAGAGCCUGGAGGAGUGCACGAGGCUUCUGAAGUUCCCCUGAGCAUUUCUCAGGGUAAAGGCAUUCUAAUAGGUACCUGUUAGAAGACUAUUUCUGAUACAGAGAAAGGGCAGCAUUCCAACCUUUCCCCACUGUACCUCCUCUCUGGCCUAACCCCUCAUUUUCUUACCCUAGUUCUCUGCCCCCAGUGAGAGCCAUUGCUCUUCCCCAACAUACCUCAGGCACCGCCCUCUAUGCCUCAGCUCAGGUGGUUUCUCCUCCUGGAUGUCCUCUGUCCCUGCCUCUCAAACACCAUCCACUCUCAGAGCCCAUGCCAAAUUCCAUCCUCUCUAGGAAGUCUUCCUGGAUCACCCAGCAGGCACUUGUUUUUCUCCCACAAUGCCUAUUGUUUCAUCUUCCUUUGAACAUCAGCACAUUCUGUCUUGUGGUGUUACUAUUAUUUUUAGAUGGGUAUUCAGUUUCCUGAAAGGAUGCUGCCUUGGGCUUCCGUAUAGCCCCUGGCUAGCUAGCAGACUGCCCUGAACAGAGAAGACAUCACUAGAUAGCAGUUGGUUGACUGAUUGCAGCAUCCUGCUCCUUAACUAUGCUUUCCUUUCACUGAAGUGGAGAACACACACACACACACACACACACACACACACACACACACACACACACACACACCAGCUACAACCAAUGCAGCCCCUGGUUUCAUAUUUUCAUGAGGGGACUUUACAACUUCUCAUCUUGAACUGUCAGGCAGACAUUCUACAAG
RNAcentral lists this long non-coding RNA (1360 nucleotides) under Homo sapiens (human). RNAcentral describes it as "non-protein coding lnc-C6orf201-13:3". Lineage: Eukaryota; Metazoa; Chordata; Mammalia; Primates; Hominidae. The record is from RNAcentral.